GGAAAUCUCACCAGGCCCGGACACUGGAAGGAUUGACAGAUUGAUAGCUCUUUCUUGAUUCGGUGGGUGGUGGUGCAUGGCCGUUCUUAGUUGGUGGAGUGAUCUGUCUGGUUAAUUCCGAUAACGAACGAGACCCCAACCUGCUAACUAGCCCUCGGGUCCUGCUUCUGUUGGGCCCGACGGAAUGAUUCGCUUCUUAGAGGGACUCGCGGCGCCUAGCCGCACGAAGGGGGGCGAUAA
RNAcentral lists this ribosomal RNA (240 nucleotides) under uncultured eukaryote. Its description in RNAcentral is "partial 18S ribosomal RNA". It matches the Rfam family "Eukaryotic small subunit ribosomal RNA", at positions 1208 to 1456 of the family's 1831-position model. The record is from RNAcentral.